Mesocricetus auratus (golden hamster) is the source of this 660-nucleotide long non-coding RNA. RefSeq lists it as uncharacterized. NCBI's taxonomy places the organism in Eukaryota, Metazoa, Chordata, Mammalia, Rodentia, Cricetidae. The record is from RefSeq and is a predicted model, not a curated record. The transcript is spliced from 2 exons.
AAAGAGUCAGGUGGAGAGGGUGCGGUGCGGAAGAGGAAACUCAAGUGAGAAGGGAGGGGCAAAGGACCCUAGGCACCUGCCACUCUAACGGCGUCCACAGGAUGGCCACGCCCUCCGGAAGUGCGGGACUGUUGGCCCACCUUUACGACCCUCCCUGUGCUCCUGCUCCCCACUUUACCCCCUUCCUGCCCCCCGCAUCUUGCUGCAGACUUUCCUCUGCUCAUCUGGGUGCCCUCGGUUAUCCUGCCGCAGGGUGUCCUCCUUCCUGGGUCCUUGCUAAGCAGCUAGGGCUGCUGGUGCCGAAAGGCCAAGCCCAACCAGACUCUACCUGUUCCUACCGCCCUGGGCCCAGAGCCCAGCUUCUUUCUGCACUCCCUUACCCUUCGCUGCACAAAGACAGAGCGAUCUUGGCCACUGUGCUACGGAACACUAGAUCCUCUGUGGGUAUUGUUGGACACCCAAGACUUGGAGGUCUGCCCCAACACCUUGAAUGGCCGGCCAGAGGUCUGGGGGAAGGGGGAGCUGAGCGCGGUCUCACAACCACGGGAGUCUCCAGGAAGCCUUUUCUACUGCCGCAGAACCAGCCCUCAGAUCCCAUUAGCGCACCAGGCCACCCAGGGCAUUCCUGGGCAGGGGGAGGGCAAAUAUGGAUGGGGUAUC